AUUGAACGCUGGCGGCAGGCCUAACACAUGCAAGUCGAACGGUAACAGAAAGCAGCUUGCUGCUUUGCUGACGAGUGGCGGACGGGUGAGUAAUGUCUGGGAAACUGCCUGAUGGAGGGGGAUAACUACUGGAAACGGUAGCUAAUACCGCAUAACGUCGCAAGACCAAAGAGGGGGACCUUCGGGCCUCUUGCCAUCGGAUGUGCCCAGAUGGGAUUAGCUUGUUGGUGGGGUAACGGCUCACCAAGGCGACGAUCCCUAGCUGGUCUGAGAGGAUGACCAGCCACACUGGAACUGAGACACGGUCCAGACUCCUACGGGAGGCAGCAGUGGGGAAUAUUGCACAAUGGGCGCAAGCCUGAUGCAGCCAUGCCGCGUGUAUGAAGAAGGCCUUCGGGUUGUAAAGUACUUUCAGCGGGGAGGAAGGGAGUAAAGUUAAUACCUUUGCUCAUUGACGUUACCCGCAGAAGAAGCACCGGCUAACUCCGUGCCAGCAGCCGCGGUAAUACGGAGGGUGCAAGCGUUAAUCGGAAUUACUGGGCGUAAAGCGCACGCAGGCGGUUUGUUAAGUCAGAUGUGAAAUCCCCGGGCUCAACCUGGGAACUGCAUCUGAUACUGGCAAGCUUGAGUCUCGUAGAGGGGGGUAGAAUUCCAGGUGUAGCGGUGAAAUGCGUAGAGAUCUGGAGGAAUACCGGUGGCGAAGGCGGCCCCCUGGACGAAGACUGACGCUCAGGUGCGAAAGCGUGGGGGAGCAAACAGGAUUAGAUACCCUGGUAGUCCACGCCGUAAACGAUGUCGACUUGGAGGUUGUGCCCUUGAGGCGUGGCUUCCGGAGCUAACGCGUUAAGUCGACCGCCUGGGGAGUACGGCCGCAAGGUUAAAACUCAAAUGAAUUGACGGGGGCCCGCACAAGCGGUGGAGCAUGUGGUUUAAUUCGAUGCAACGCGAAGAACCUUACCUGGUCUUGACAUCCACAGAACUUUCCAGAGAUGGAUUGGUGCCUUCGGGAACUGUGAGACAGGUGCUGCAUGGCUGUCGUCAGCUCGUGUUGUGAAAUGUUGGGUUAAGUCCCGCAACGAGCGCAACCCUUAUCCUUUGUUGCCAGCGGUCCGGCCGGGAACUCAAAGGAGACUGCCAGUGAUAAACUGGAGGAAGGUGGGGAUGACGUCAAGUCAUCAUGGCCCUUACGACCAGGGCUACACACGUGCUACAAUGGCGCAUACAAAGAGAAGCGACCUCGCGAGAGCAAGCGGACCUCAUAAAGUGCGUCGUAGUCCGGAUUGGAGUCUGCAACUCGACUCCAUGAAGUCGGAAUCGCUAGUAAUCGUGGAUCAGAAUGCCACGGUGAAUACGUUCCCGGGCCU
This 1364-nucleotide ribosomal RNA is filed under the name uncultured bacterium. RNAcentral's name for it is "bacterial SSU rRNA". It matches the Rfam family "Bacterial small subunit ribosomal RNA", at positions 28 to 1381 of the family's 1533-position model. The record is from RNAcentral.